UGCUUAACACAUGCAAGUCGAACGAUGAUGCCCAGCUUGCUGGGUGGAUUAGUGGCGAACGGGUGAGUAACACGUGAGUAACCUGCCCCUGACUCUGGGAUAAGCGUUGGAAACGACGUCUAAUACUGGAUAUGACUGCCGGCCGCAUGGUCUGGUGGUGGAAAGAUUUUUUGGUUGGGGAUGGACUCGCGGCCUAUCAGCUUGUUGGUGAGGUAAUGGCUCACCAAGGCGACGACGGGUAGCCGGCCUGAGAGGGUGACCGGCCACACUGGGACUGAGACACGGCCCAGACUCCUACGGGAGGCAGCAGUGGGGAAUAUUGCACAAUGGGCGAAAGCCUGAUGCAGCAACGCCGCGUGAGGGAUGACGGCCUUCGGGUUGUAAACCUCUUUUAGUAGGGAAGAAGCGAAAGUGACGGUACCUGCAGAAAAAGCACCGGCUAACUACGUGCCAGCAGCCGCGGUAAUACGUAGGGUGCAAGCGUUGUCCGGAAUUAUUGGGCGUAAAGAGCUCGUAGGCGGUUUGUCGCGUCUGCUGUGAAAUCCCGAGGCUCAACCUCGGGCUUGCAGUGGGUACGGGCAGACUAGAGUGCGGUAGGGGAGAUUGGAAUUCCUGGUGUAGCGGUGGAAUGCGCAGAUAUCAGGAGGAACACCGAUGGCGAAGGCAGAUCUCUGGGCCGUAACUGACGCUGAGGAGCGAAAGCGUGGGGAGCGAACAGGAUUAGAUACCCUGGUAGUCCACGCCGUANACGUUGGGCGCUAGAUGUAGGGACCUUUCCACGGUUUCUGUGUCGUAGCUAACGCAUUAAGCGCCCCGCCUGGGGAGUACGGCCGCAAGGCUAAAACUCA
RNAcentral lists this ribosomal RNA (848 nucleotides) under Curtobacterium sp. RP-B9. Its description in RNAcentral is "bacterial SSU rRNA". It matches the Rfam family "Bacterial small subunit ribosomal RNA", at positions 45 to 903 of the family's 1533-position model. Lineage: Bacteria; Bacillati; Actinomycetota; Actinomycetes; Micrococcales; Microbacteriaceae. The record is from RNAcentral.